UAAACUUGUCCUUGCAUAAUUUCAUUUUGGACUGACAACAAAGGCUGGUCUGCUAGAAAGCUCAUAAAGGCAAAAGUCGAAAGUCGCAGCAUACUCUUUGGCGUUUGAGAAAUUUGUUUUCACAGAGUGCUUGAGGAAUGGUUGGUGGGAGACAUACACAAACAAAGCAACAAACAAAAAUGUCGACUUGAUUGCGUCGUUGAUGCCUUUGCCUUUUGCUGAAUGAACGACAGUCAUACAAUUGUGCGGACAGAUUGGCGACGUCGCUGCCGCUGCUGCAACAUGAAGUUUGAAUCCCCAGCGGAUUAGAAAAGUUUAAAUUGUUGCCACACAGCCAAGAAGAAAAAUCGAAGCAGUGGCAAAUGAACGAACGACCGAAUGAAUAAAGUGAGCAACGUAACGAUUA
Molecule: long non-coding RNA, 406 nt
Organism: Scaptodrosophila lebanonensis
Lineage: Eukaryota; Metazoa; Arthropoda; Insecta; Diptera; Drosophilidae
Exons: 2
Source: RefSeq, a predicted model, not a curated record